GGACUACUCGGGUUUCUAAUCCCGUUCGCUCCCCUGGCUUUCGCGCCUCAGCGUCAGAAAAGGUCCAGUCGAUCGCUUUCGCCACCGGCGUUCCUUCCGAUAUCUACGCAUUUCACCGCUCCACCGGAAGUUCCAUCGACCCCUACCUCCCUCGAGACCGCCAGUAUCCCAGGCAAUUCCCCGGUUGAGCCGGGGGAUUUCACCCCGGACUUGGCGGCCCGCCUACGCGCCCUUUAAGCCCAGUGAUUCCGAACAACGUUCGCACGGUUCGUCUUACCGCGGCUGCUGGCAC
Molecule: ribosomal RNA, 292 nt
Filed under: uncultured Planctomycetota bacterium
Lineage: Bacteria; Pseudomonadati; Planctomycetota
Description: uncultured planctomycete partial 16S ribosomal RNA
Source: RNAcentral